This is a long non-coding RNA of Populus nigra (black poplar), 929 nucleotides long. RefSeq lists it as uncharacterized. Lineage: Eukaryota; Viridiplantae; Streptophyta; Magnoliopsida; Malpighiales; Salicaceae. The transcript has 2 exons. The record is from RefSeq and is a predicted model, not a curated record.
CUUUUACAAUGUGUUACCAGACUGCAAAAGGCCAAAUGCGAGACUAAGUCAGAGUCAAGGAAGAGAUCAAAGGCUGUUUCAUCCUCGAAAAGGAGCAGAGCUGCCAUCAUUUCCAAAACUAGAGCUAGAAGAUCUGCAUAUGGUGCUGUGCCUAACGAACCAAUUAUUGUCAACAAACCUGCGGAUCAUGACAAAUCUGGGUCAGAUAGUGGUUCAGAAGAUGAUGGGAAAAACACACCAGGGCAAGAUAGCGGUUCAGAAGAUGAUGGUAAAAACACUUCAGGGUCCGAUAGCGGUUCACAAGAUGAUGGUGAAAAUUCUACUGUCAAGUUUAAGAUCGACAAUCCAUUGACUGAUAUCAAGUCCAAGCAAGCAUUGCCAGAGACUGUAAAUCCGUCUGACAAUGGAAGUCCCAAAGCUGGUACCGGGUAUUGUAGCUUCAACUCUGAGCAGACAACUUCAGUCGGUGUGACACCAUCCAAAGAUGAAAGUUCCGAAGGGGAUGAUGAAUCUCACGGCUCGGAUGAUCUAAUAGGGAACAACAAGGGGAAGUGAGCUCUUCCUUUUCACCUGAAACUGAGUAGGAACUGGUAAACCUCGUGUACAGACACAGCGGACGGAGAGGCACAGGGAAACGUUGUGAGUUUGGUUUCGUUUAGAACUAGUGUUAGUUUUAGCGCCUCUGUUUUAGGCAACUGAAGCAUAUAUUUCGCGACCCUAGUGGAGUACAUGCAAGCAAUCCUUCGGCUUAGACAGGAACAAUGGUUUUGAUAGGGCUUGUAUUGUAAUGGAUCCCUCAGCCCAUGAAGUGUUUAGACCUCAAUUUGAUUGCAAUCUUAAGGGUGUUUAUGAAACAACCUCCGCCACAUUAUUUUAAAGACCCUGGAUGUUAUAACGUAUGCAUUUAUGAAAAGGAGGAUGUUUUGGCC